AGGGCACCACCAGGAGUGGAGCCUGCGGCUUAAUUUGACUCAACACGGGGAAACUUACCCGGCCUGGACACUGGAAGGAUUGACAGAUUGAGAGCUCUUUCUUGAUUCAGUGGGUGGUGGUGCAUGGCCGUUCUUAGUUGGUGGAGCGAUUUGUCUGGUUAAUUCCGAUAACGAACGAGACUCUAGCCUAUUAAAUAGGCUCUCGGCUUUUAAACGCCGGGAGGACUUCUUAGAGGGACAGGCGGCGGUUCAGCCGCACGAAAUUGAGCAAUAACAGGUCUGUGAUGCCCUUAGAUGUCCGGGGCUGCACGCGCGCUACACUGGAGAAAUCAGCGUGCUAUACCAUUGCCGAAAGACAUUGGUAAACCGAUCAAAAUUCUCCGUGAUCGGGAUCGGGAAUUGGAAUUAUUUCCCUUGAACGAGGAAUUCCCAGUAAGUGUGGGUCAUCAGCUCACGCUGAUUACGUCCCUGCCCUUUGUACACACCGCCCGUCGCUGCCCGGGACUGAGCCGCGAGAAA
Molecule: ribosomal RNA, 519 nt
Filed under: uncultured eukaryote
Lineage: Eukaryota
Description: bacterial SSU rRNA
Rfam family: Eukaryotic small subunit ribosomal RNA
Source: RNAcentral